This 475-nucleotide ribosomal RNA is filed under the name Actinomyces sp. oral taxon 169. Its description in RNAcentral is "bacterial SSU rRNA". It matches the Rfam family "Bacterial small subunit ribosomal RNA", at positions 28 to 493 of the family's 1533-position model. Lineage: Bacteria; Bacillati; Actinomycetota; Actinomycetes; Actinomycetales; Actinomycetaceae. The record is from RNAcentral.
GACGAACGCUGGCGGCGUGCUUAACACAUGCAAGUCGAACGGUGAAGGGACCAGCUUGCUGGUUCUGGAUGAGUGGCGAACGGGUGAGUAACACGUGAGUAACCUGCCCCCUUCUUCUGGAUAACCGCAUGAAAGUGUGGCUAAUACGGGAUAUUCUGGGUCUGUCGCAUGACGGGCCCGGGAAAGAUAUUGCUUCGGUGGGGGAUGGGCUCGCGGCCUAUCAGCUUGUUGGUGGGGUGAUGGCCUACCAAGGCGGUGACGGGUAGCCGGCCUGAGAGGGUGGACGGUCACGCUGGGACUGAGACACGGCCCAGACUCCUACGGGAGGCAGCAGUGGGGAAUAUUGCACAAUGGGCGCAAGCCUGAUGCAGCGACGCCGCGUGAGGGAUGGAGGCCUUCGGGUUGUAAACCUCUUUCGCCAGUGAAGCAGGCCUGCUCCUUGUGGGUGGGUUGACGGUAGCUGGAUAAGAAGCGC